Molecule: ribosomal RNA, 391 nt
Filed under: uncultured Oscillatoria sp.
Lineage: Bacteria; Bacillati; Cyanobacteriota; Cyanophyceae; Oscillatoriales; Oscillatoriaceae
Also listed under: 1 other name
Description: bacterial SSU rRNA
Rfam family: Bacterial small subunit ribosomal RNA
Source: RNAcentral
CGAAAGCCUGACGGAGCAAGACCGCGUGGGGGAAGAAGGCUCUUGGGUUGUAAACCCCUUUUCUCUGGGAAGAAAGUUGUGAAAGCAACCUGACGGUACCAGAGGAAUCAGCAUCGGCUAACUCCGUGCCAGCAGCCGCGGUAAGACGGAGGAUGCAAGCGUUAUCCGGAAUGAUUGGGCGUAAAGCGUCCGCAGGUGGCAGUUCAAGUCUGCUGUCAAAGACCGGGGCUUAACGUCGGAAAGGCAGUGGAAACUGAACAGCUAGAGUAUGGUAGGGGCAGAGGGAAUUCCUGGUGUAGCGGUGAAAUGCGUAGAGAUCAGGAAGAACAUCGGUGGCGAAGGCGCUCUGCUGGACCAUAACUGACACUCAGGGACGAAAGCUAGGGGAGCG